CGCAGUUUCAGCAAAGUUCCCUGCCGCGCCGGGAAGCCGUCCUGUUGCCCACUCUCACCCUUCCUCCUUUUCCGGCCCAUUCUCUCUCCCCACUGGGUCUCCGACACGACCCUCUCUCCUCCCGGCUGUCCCCGAGCCCCUCUCUGCUUCCCCAGCUCAGCCCCCUCUCUGACGGCUUCUCCCUCCCACCCCCAGGCGAAUCUCCGGGCUCCCACGGGGUGCCCCCGAUCCCCGGGGUCUAGGUCAACCAGACAAAAUUAUUUUAAAUGGGAAGAUUUGAAUUCCAUUGAAUUCAUGAAAGCAGGAAUCCAUCUGGUCAUAUUUUAAAUAAUUUUGAAAUGAUAAUAGCAAUUAUCAAUUUAAAGUUUAACCAGAAUUCAGAAUAACCACCAUUUUACCAGAAAAAAAAAAACCUGUUAUAACUAACCAACUAAGUCAGUAAAUUCUCAGGAUACAAUAUUAACAUAUGAACAUCAGUUGCAUUUUUUUUACAGUAACAACAAAAUAUCUGAAACAGGAAUAAAGAUAGUUCCAUUUACAAUAUUAUCAAAUAGAAUGAAAUACUUAGGAAUGAGUUAACAAAGAAUAUGAAAGAUCUGCAUACUGAAAACUAUAAAAUGUUGAGGAAAGAAAAUGAAGAAUACAAAAUGGGAAAUAUGUGUUCAUGGAUUCUAAAAAUUAAUAUUGUUAAAAUAUCCAUACUACACAAAGUGAUCUACAGAGUUAAAUUUUUAUCAAAAUUUUAAUGCCAUUUUAUUAAAAUGUAGAACGACAAUUUUAAAAUUAGUAUGGAACCACAAAAGACCUCAAAUAGCCAAAUACUGAGAAGAACAAAAAGGCUGAAAGCCUCACACUUCCUGAUUUCAAACUAUAUUACAAAGCUGUAGUCAUUAAUACAGUAUAGUACCUACAUAAAAACCAAUAGAACAGAAUAGAGGACCCAGAAAUAAACUCACAAAUAUACAUUCGACCAAUCCCACAGAAUGGAGAAAGGAUAAACACAUCAAGGAGUGGUGUAGGAAAAACUCGAUAUGCACAGACAAAAAGUAAACCUUUCUCUCAUGUCAUCACAAAAUGAAUUUGAAAUGAAAUAAAGACUUAAACAUAAGAACUGAAAUCAUGAAUCCUCUAAAAAAAAAAAUGGGGAAAAGCCUCCUUGACACUGGUCAUGGCAAUGAUGUUUCGGAUUUGACACCAGGAGCGCAGUCAACAAAAGCAAAAAUAAACAAGUGGAACUAUGUCAAAGUAAAAAUUUUCUGCACAAUAAAGGAAACAAUCAGCAAAAUAUAAAGGCAUUAUAUGGAAUGGGAGAAAAUAUUUGUAAACCAUAUGUAGGAUAAUAUGUUACUAUCCAAAAUAUAUGUCAUAGUAAUCAAUACAAAAAACCCACAGCAGAAUUAAAAGCAAUUUCUUGAUUAAUAAUUGGGCAAAAUAUAUAAAUAGCAAUUUUUCCAAAGAUAUACAAAUGGCCAGCAGGUAUAUAAAAAAUGCUCAACAUCACUAAUUAUCACAGUAAUUAAAAUCACAAUGAGGUAUCACCUUAUCGUGGUGUUUGGAUACCUAUUAUCAAAAAGUCAAAAGAUAAAAAGUGUUAGGGUGUGGAAAAAGAGAACACUUGUGCACUGUUGCUGAGGAUGUCAAUUGGUGCAGCUAUUAUGAAAAACAGUAUGGAGGUUCCUUAAAAUUGUUAAACUAGAACUACCAUUAAUCCCAAUUAGGAGUAUAUAGCCAAAGGACAUAAAAUCAGGAUCAUCAAGGGUAUCUGCAUUCCUCUGAUACAGAUAAACUGAGAGACAUAAUUUCAGCUUUAAUAAAAAUGAAACUCUUUCAUCCACAACAAUAUUGAUAAAUCUUGAAGACAUUAUGCUAAGUGAAAUAAGCUGAAUACAGAAAGACAACUACUGCAUGAUCUCGUUUGUAUGUAAAAUCUAAAAAAGUAAAUAAAAAUUUAAAAAAGCCAUGGAAACAGUAGAACGCUGGUUCCCAUGGGCUAGGAAGUGGGGAAAGUGGGAAGAUUUCCAUGGAAGGGGCGCACCUUCAGUUACAAGGUGAGUAACUGCUGGGGACCUAACGUACAGAAUAGUGACUAUAGUUAACAAUACUGUGUACUUGAAAUUUGCUGCAAGAGUAGAUCUCAGGUGCUCUCACCACACACAGAGGCGUAUUCACUAUGUGAGGGGAUAGACAGGCUAACUAGCUUAACUGAGGUGAUUUAAAGACCACUGACAUCUCAAAACACUCUAUUGUACACCCUAAAAAUACACACUUUUCAAUUUGUCAAUCAUAGCUCAACGAAUGGAGAAAAAAAAUAAGAGUAACCAGCAGGUCAUAGCUCGCCACACGGAAGCUCGAUUUAAAACACGCUUGGCCGCUGUUCGCAGCUCAACUCGGGAACGGCCGGAGCGCUUCUGGCCCCUGGACUUCGACGCUCCUCCCGCGCCCCCGGGGCUGGGGAAGGCGCAGUCGUUCCCCGGAUUCCAG
This 2481-nucleotide long non-coding RNA is filed under the name Homo sapiens (human). RNAcentral's name for it is "HSALNT0082897". The record is from RNAcentral. Lineage: Eukaryota; Metazoa; Chordata; Mammalia; Primates; Hominidae.